Molecule: ribosomal RNA, 406 nt
Filed under: uncultured bacterium
Lineage: Bacteria
Description: bacterial SSU rRNA
Rfam family: Bacterial small subunit ribosomal RNA
Source: RNAcentral
AAUCAACGCUGGCGGCGUGCCUAACACAUGCAAGUCGAACGCGAAAGGGACUUCGGUCCUGAGUAGAGUGGCGAACGGGUGAGUAACACGUGGGUGACCUACCUUCGAAUGGGGGAUAACGUCCCGAAAGGGACGCUAAUACCGCAUAACAUCCUGUCCUUGAACGGAUGGAGAUCAAAGCCGGGGAUCGCAAGACCUGGCGUUUGAAGAGGGGCCCGCGUCCGAUUAGCUAGUUGGUGAGGAACGGCUCACCAAGGCGACGAUCGGUAACCGGCCUGAGAGGGCGGACGGUCACACUGGGACUGAGACACGGCCCAGACUCCUACGGGAGGCAGCAGUGGGGAAUUGUUCACAAUGGGCGAAAGCCUGAUGGUGCGACGCCGCGUGAGGGACGAAGGCCUCGGUU